This 507-nucleotide unclassified non-coding RNA is filed under the name uncultured Glomeromycotina. Its description in RNAcentral is "SSU rRNA". It matches the Rfam family "Eukaryotic small subunit ribosomal RNA", at positions 591 to 1092 of the family's 1831-position model. Lineage: Eukaryota; Fungi; Glomeromycota. The record is from RNAcentral.
CCAAUAGCGUAUAUUAAAGUUGUUGCAGUUAAAAAGCUCGUAGUUGAAUUUCGGGAUUGGCGCAUCGGUCGUGCCUCACGGGGUAUGAACUGGUGCAGUCAAUUUCUCACCUUCUGGAGAACCGCGAUGUCCUUAAUUGGAUGCCGCGGGGAACCAGGACCUUUACUUUGAGAAAAUUAGAGUGUUUAAAGCAGGCAUUUUUGCUUGAAUACAUUAGCAUGGAAUAAUAAAAUAGGACGGCAUGGUUCUAUUUUGUUGGUUUCUAGGACCACCGUAAUGAUUAAUAGGGAUAGUUGGGGGCAUUAGUAUUCAAUUGUCAGAGGUGAAAUUCUUGGAUUUAUUGAAGACUAACUACUGCGAAAGCAUUUGCCAAGGAUGUUUUCAUUAAUCAAGAACGAAAGUUAGGGGAUCGAAGACGAUCAGAUACCGUCGUAGUCUUAACCAUAAACUAUGCCGACUAGGAAUCAGACGAUGUUAAUUUUUUAAUGACUCGUUUGGCACCUUACG